UGUGGCGCAGCUUGGUAGCGCGCGUCGUUCGGGACGACGAGGCCGCAGGUUCAAAUCCUGUCA
This 63-nucleotide transfer RNA is filed under the name Salmonella enterica subsp. enterica serovar Typhimurium. RNAcentral's name for it is "tRNA-Pro". It matches the Rfam family "tRNA", at positions 6 to 65 of the family's 71-position model. Rfam says of the family: Transfer RNA (tRNA) molecules are approximately 80 nucleotides in length. Their secondary structure includes four short double-helical elements and three loops (D, anti-codon, and T loops). The record is from RNAcentral. Lineage: Bacteria; Pseudomonadati; Pseudomonadota; Gammaproteobacteria; Enterobacterales; Enterobacteriaceae. RNAcentral also lists the same sequence under 2 other names.